This 945-nucleotide ribosomal RNA is filed under the name uncultured bacterium. RNAcentral's name for it is "bacterial SSU rRNA". It matches the Rfam family "Bacterial small subunit ribosomal RNA", at positions 502 to 1447 of the family's 1533-position model. The record is from RNAcentral.
UACGUNCCAGCAGCCGCGGUAAUACGUAGGUCCCGAGCGUUNUCCGGAUUUAUUGGGCGUAAAGGGAGCGCAGGCGNUCAGGAAAGUCUGGAGUAAAAGGCUAUGGCUCAACCAUAGUGUGCUCUGGAAACUGUNUGACUUGAGUGCAGAAGGGGAGAGUGGAAUUCCAUGUGUAGCGGUGAAAUGCGUAGAUAUAUGGAGGAACACCAGUGGCGAAAGCGGCUCUCUGGUCUGUCACUGACGCUGAGGCUCGAAAGCGUGGGUAGCGAACAGGAUUAGAUACCCUGGUAGUCCACGCCGUAAACGAUGAGUGCUAGGUGUUAGGCCCUUUCCGGGGCUUAGUGCCGGAGCUAACGCAAUAAGCACUCCGCCUGGGGAGUACGACCGCAAGGUUGAAACUCAAAGGAAUUGACGGGGGCCCGCACAAGCGGUGGAGCAUGUGGUUUAAUUCGAAACAACGCGAAGAACCUUACCAGGUCUUGACAUCCCGAUGCUAUUCUUAGAGAUAGGAAGUUACUUCGGUACAUCGGAGACAGGUGGUGCAUGGUUGUCGUCAGCUCGUGUCGUGAGAUGUUGGGUUAAGUCCCGCAACGAGCGCAACCCUUAUUGUUAGUUGCCAUCAUUAAGUUGGGCACUCUAGCGAGACUGCCGGUAAUAAACCGGAGGAAGGUGGGGAUGACGUCAAAUCAUCAUGCCCCUUAUGACCUGGGCUACACACGUGCUACAAUGGUCGGUACAACGAGUUGCGAGCCGGUGACGGCAAGCUAAUCUCUGAAAGCCGAUCUCAGUUCGGAUUGGAGGCUGCAACUCGCCUCCAUGAAGUCGGAAUCGCUAGUAAUCGCGGAUCAGCACGCCGCGGUGAAUACGUUCCCGGGCCUUGUACACACCGCCCGUCACACCACGAGAGUUUGUAACACCCGAAGUCGGUGAGGUAACCUUUUAGGG